GCGUGGAAGUUGAGGAUGACUAGUGAGUUAAUUCCUUAUACCCCUUUCAGCUCUUGGAUUCCAUAUAUCUAAUUGGUACUUGCUUAAUGAGGAGGAGAAUGCUUUUGUUAAUACCACUGCCUCUACCACCAGGCAUUUUCAAUGCUAUUUCUGUUGGCACAUUUUUAUUUCAUUCCCAGGAGAGGAAAGCAGCAUGCUCUGCCCACUGCAGACACAUUUGCCAUUUACAAGCCUUUGGUUGCCCAGGAAUUAAGGACCGGGGGAAACGGCUGUUCACUUCCACCUCUGGCCCCCUGGAGAGAAACACAGGUGGCUGAAAUCAUUCACCAAGUUCUCAAGACAGAUUGUCAAGUGCGAAGAAAGCACUUUAAAGAGAUUGAUAAAAUAAGAUGUCACAACCUCCAGUACUUCUUACUAUCAGAACCAAUCCUCAGGAGAAAUGCAGUAUUUAACAACAUUUAAGAUGAAAGAAGUUUGCUUAUUAAACAAAAUGUGCCAUCACCAACUCUGUUGGCCAAUUCCACAACAUUUAUGAAUUCCUAUCCUCUUCAUCCAAGUCAUAAUAUCCUGCUUCUAAUGCCAAGCUUUGCAUCAACCCAAAUAUGUAUAAGAUGGGAAGAAGAUAUGGAGCCCAACCACAGACUGAAGAUACCUUGAUUACAGAAGGCUUUGCAGACCUCGGUUAUUUCAAACAUUUUUGUUUUCUGCUUGGUAUCACAGAGUAUUUUUACCCCAGUGCAGUAUACCAGUAAAUUAGAAUGAGAGAGAGGUGACCUUUCUUGUCAAAAUGGAAGAAGAGUGAUUGUUCAAGAGGAGGUAAGAAAGGAGAACCAACACAUUUUCAGAUGACUUUCAGGAAAGACAUAAGUGUUGGGGAUGUGAGAAGUGAUUUCAUUAAAUCUGUGGCUGUUAACCCUUGGAAAGCCUCUGUCUACAGCAAGAACACAUGUAUCUCAGUUUAAAGGCCAUGAUAUAAUCUAUAUUUGAGUGUAUUUUGUUGUUGUUGUUGCUGUGUAACAAUUUAAUACAUGCUUAGAAGCUUCCAACACCACCACCCAUUUAUUAUCUCACAGUUUCUGUGGGUCAAGAGUCUGGACACACUUUAGUUGAGUUUUCUCUUCAGGGUCUCUGGUCAGAGUUGCAGCUCAUCUAAGAUUCAGAGUCCUCUUUUGAACCCACAUGUAUAUUGGCAGACAUUUCCCCACAGUUGAAAUAUUUAUGGUGAUUUGCUUUUUCUAGGUCAGGAAGAGAGAUUUUGUACUGCUCUGAGUUUCUGAUUGUUAGACCCACUUUUAAAUGACUCACCUGAUUAGGUAAGACCCAUCCAGCAUAAUCUCUCUUUUGAUUAACUCGAAGUGAACUAAUUAGGGACCUUAAUUAUGCCUGCAAAAAUCCCUUCACCCUCUCCAUAUAAUAUAAAACAAUCAAAGAAUGGCAUCCAUCAUAUUUGCUAAGCUUUCACCCAUACUCAAGGGAUAGGAUUGCAUAGUGUAUAAACCCUAGAAAGCAAAAAUCUUGGUGCCCAGUUUAGAAUUCUGUUUACCAUGCAUGACAAAACAGAACUUCCUAAACUCCAAAAACUUUCUCUUCAUUUACAAACAGGUUUCACAUAUGCUCUCUUUAAUUAAGUGCCCCUUUUCUAUUUGCUUUUAGGACCUACUUCAAGUCCCUUCUUUACUACUUCAAGUCCCUUCUUUACAAAGCAUUGCAAAGCUUUCCAUCCAACACAGGGAGAUAGAAGUCAUUUCUCCCUUUUUGAAAAUUAAAAUACUAGUUUUGUUAUUUGUAUAAAUAUUUAAUUCCCUUUUUAAACAAGUAACUCCUUGAAUCAUGUCUGAUUUAUCUUUGCAUUGU
This 1854-nucleotide long non-coding RNA is filed under the name Homo sapiens (human). RNAcentral's name for it is "novel transcript". Lineage: Eukaryota; Metazoa; Chordata; Mammalia; Primates; Hominidae. The record is from RNAcentral.